Molecule: long non-coding RNA, 367 nt
Organism: Xenia sp. Carnegie-2017
Lineage: Eukaryota; Metazoa; Cnidaria; Anthozoa; Malacalcyonacea; Xeniidae
Exons: 4
Source: RefSeq, a predicted model, not a curated record
AACGCAUGAGUACAUGGUGGGUCAAUAUUCAAUAUGGCGUUUGAACGAAUUGUGGUAUGUUUCGCUGCCGUAAAAUGGCAUAUACAACCACAAAUACAACCAUCCGACUGGUGCAGCUUAAAAAAGAAAUUUCAGGGCUUCCAUUUACUACAUGUUUCAAAGUUCAUGUAUGAGAACAAUAUUUCUUCGUGUAUUCAUACUUUUUAGGAGUUUGCAACAUCAAAAGUUCGAAGCAAGGAAAUCGAUCAACAGGGCUCAGUCACUCAGUACUAUGCUUAGUACUUUUUUAAAUAUCUAUCGGAGAAGUCUGGCUGGGAGAAUGGAAGAAAUUCAGACGCUCAAAUGACUUCUUUUACAAUAACGUGGA